RNAcentral lists this unclassified non-coding RNA (647 nucleotides) under Bombus terrestris (buff-tailed bumblebee). RNAcentral's name for it is "misc RNA ENSBTSG00005025069.1". The record is from RNAcentral. Lineage: Eukaryota; Metazoa; Arthropoda; Insecta; Hymenoptera; Apidae.
AUUCCUCUCUCUCAUCCCUGUAGCUCGUAAAAAAUUUCUAACGUAACUUUAAAAUUUAUAAUGUGCACGUUGUUGAUAAAAAUUUUCUCGGCUACGUUUCACUCUACAAUCUCGCAAGCUUGUUGAUGCUGAAAAUAUUCUAUACCCUUCAUUAUAUGUAUCUACAUAUCUGUGUAAUAAAUAUUAUUAAUUUUCAAACCAUAUGGGAUUAGUAGACUCUCAGACUCUGUACAUGCAAACAUGAAAUAUAUUAUUAUCAAAGAGAUUAUUACAAUAAAAUCAUAAGCGACAUAUUAUGUAUGUUUCGUGCCACAUUUUUAUACAUAUACCUUUUUAAUAUCUUUGUGCGAAUUAAGAACUAUAUUUUUUGCAUUUAUGGCAAAAUUUUUAUAAUUUCUUUUACUUUUUAUAUUGCGUUCUCCAAAUCGCCAGACGUAAAUAAAGGCGACAUAUUAUGUAUUUUUCGUGCCACAUUUUUAUACAUAUACCUUUUUAAUAUCUUUGUGCGAAUUAAGAACUAUAUUUUUUGCAUUUAUGGCAAAAUUUUUAUAAUUUCUUUUACUUUUUAUAUUGCGUUCUCCAAAUCGCCAGACGUAAAUAAAGGCGACAUAUUAUUAUUUUUCGUGCCACAUUUUUAUACAUAUACC